Molecule: ribosomal RNA, 469 nt
Filed under: uncultured bacterium
Lineage: Bacteria
Description: partial 16S ribosomal RNA
Rfam family: Bacterial small subunit ribosomal RNA
Source: RNAcentral
GACGAACGCUGGCGGCGUGCUUAACACAUGCAAGUCGAACGGAAAGGCCCUGCUUGCAGGGUGCUCGAGUGGCGAACGGGUGAGUAACACGUGGGUGAUCUGCCCCUUAUUUUGGGAUAAGCCUGGGAAACUGGGUCUAAUACUGGAUAGGACCAUGCUGUAGGUGGUGUGGUGGAAAGAUUAGUUUCGGUAAGGGAUGAGCUCGCGGCCUAUCAGCUUGUUGGUGGGGUAAUGGCCUACCAAGGCGGCGACGGGUAGCCGGCCUGAGAGGGUGGACGGCCACAUUGGGACUGAGGUACGGCCCAGACUCCUACGGGGGGCAGCAGUGGGGAAGAUUGCACAAUGGGGGCAAGCCUGAUGCAGCGGCGCCGCGUGGGGGAUGACGGCCGUCGGGUUGUAAACUCCUUUCAGCCAUGACGAAGCCCUUGUGGUGACGGUAGUGGGAGAAGAAGCACCGGCUAACUACGUG